AGUAAGAUGGCCGAAAUUAAGCGAUUGUUUGUAGCACAAUUAAUGAGGAACCCCUCUCUUGCAA
RNAcentral lists this transfer RNA (64 nucleotides) under Decemunciger sp. AB-2017. RNAcentral describes it as "tRNA-Tyr". The record is from RNAcentral. Lineage: Eukaryota; Metazoa; Annelida; Polychaeta; Terebellida; Ampharetidae.